This 710-nucleotide long non-coding RNA is filed under the name Monodelphis domestica (gray short-tailed opossum). Its description in RNAcentral is "lncRNA (ENSMODG00000038341.1)". The record is from RNAcentral. Lineage: Eukaryota; Metazoa; Chordata; Mammalia; Didelphimorphia; Didelphidae.
UGGAAAGUUUGAGAGGGACAAAUUGGGAUAAAGAGCCCUGGGGCACAAAAGCCCCCGGAAAAGUCUGGGAAAAGAAUCCCAUCUGGGAUGCCUCACCUGAGGCUGAUAUCCUUGCAGAUGAUGAUGGAUGAGAUUCUCCUUGGCCCCUCAAAGAAAUCAGACUGGGAAACACCCACAACACUGAAUUCUGAGCUACUUGAAGGCAGGCAUAUCUACUGUACAAGAAUGAUCCAGUGAAGUAGACAUCUAUUUUACAGAUGGGAAGACUAAGGCUAAAAGAAGUUAAGCAACUUGCCCAGGAGAACACAGUAACGUUCUGACUCCAAGACCCUAUACUCUGUCCAUUGUACCAUGUAGCUGCUUCUAAUCGACUCUAGUAAAAUAACCUCAAACAGAGCCUGCAAGGUGGACUUCCAAUUCAUUACAGACCUGAGUAAUCCCCUCUUGGACAUUUAUUAGCUGUGUGACCUGGGGUGAGUCAUUUCACUUUAAGUUUGUUUCCUCAUUUAAAAAAAAUCAUUUAAUUUAGAAUAUUUUCCCAAGGUUACACGAUUCAUGUUCUUUCCGUCCCCUCCUCUCUCCCCCCUCCCGUAGCCAAUGAGCAAUUCUACUGGGUUUUACAUGUAUCAUUGUUCAAAAUUCAUUUCCAUAUUAUCAGUAUUUGCCAUAGAGUGAUCGUUUAAAGUCAACAUCCCCAAUCAUAUCCCCAU